This 370-nucleotide long non-coding RNA is filed under the name Callithrix jacchus (white-tufted-ear marmoset). RNAcentral's name for it is "lncRNA (ENSCJAG00000056506.2)". The record is from RNAcentral. Lineage: Eukaryota; Metazoa; Chordata; Mammalia; Primates; Cebidae.
CCCUCUACCCCAGUUUCUUACCAUUAGCUCAUGCUCUCUUUGCCCAAUCCUGCUUCUCCACAACUAUCCACUUGUUCAUCGAACAGCAUAGAAAUACCCAGGUUUCCCCAUUUCUUUGGGUCUUCAUUUCUGAAGGCUUUUGUGUCACAUAAAACUUGUAUUAGCAAGGGACCACUGAGACCCUCACUCCCUCCAGAGCCUACAGAUGAGAUCUGGGACAACCGACAAAAAGCUGGAGAAAGAAUUCUUGCCAAGAUGCAGAAUCUCACUAUGUUGCCCAGUGAGGUCUUGAACUCCUGACCUCAAACCAUCGUCACACCUGGGCAUCCCAAAGUGCUGGGAUUACAAGUGUGAACCACCAUGCCCUCAC